RNAcentral lists this long non-coding RNA (1535 nucleotides) under Sinocyclocheilus grahami. RNAcentral's name for it is "lncRNA (ENSSGRG00000000831.1)". The record is from RNAcentral. Lineage: Eukaryota; Metazoa; Chordata; Actinopteri; Cypriniformes; Cyprinidae.
AUGGAAACGAAAGUGUUCAUCUGUGUUCUGUGUGCCUGUUUGGUAACACUCUUAGUGCAUAAGACAUCACCAGCCCUAAUAAAUGAAGGCAUAUUUCUAUUAUACAAACCCUCUCAGCAAGGUCCUGAAGAUCCUGUUAAUGGAAGUAAUUACGAGCAGAUGACUAACCAUACCUUAAAUACAAAUACAACCCAAGAAAGUAUUCUGGAAAAGACCAUUGCGCCGAACCUUGCAGAGAACGAUGGGAAACAAAACUACACACAAGUCUCAAACACAACUCAAGGGUUACAAAAUCCCGAAGACAACUAAUGAUAAAAGACAAAAAAAGAACUGGAAAACAACCUGUUAAACAGUCAACCCUGAUGAAAUGGCAUGCUUUAAUGUUUGUUGAACAAAUUACCUUUGUAUUGUACACUGUGAAAAAUGCCAUACUCCAAUAGUCUCCAAUACUAAAAAAAAAUUUUUUUCUUGAAACUACAUAAAAACCCUUGUCAGUACAACAAAAUUACCCCAAAUGUUGCCCCAACUGAAGGCCCAUAUAGUGAAGUGUUUAACAGUUUUCUUUCACCAGAACGAUGGGAAACAAAACUACACACAAGUCUCAAGCACAACUCAAGGGUUACAAAAUCCCGAAGACAACUAAUGGUAAGUCAAAGUUUCAUGCUGUUCAAGUACAACACAUAAAAUUGCUUAGUUUUUUCAUGUUAUUUGUGAAAAGUUGUUUAACUCUCUUUUUUUCCUCAGAUAAAAGACAAAAAGAGAACUGGAAAACAACCUGUUAAACAGUCAACCCUGAUGAAAUGGCAUGCUUUAAUGUUUGUUGAACAAGUUACCUUUGUAUUGUACACUGUGAAAAAUGCCAUACUCCAAUAGUCUCCAAUACUAAAAAAAUUUUUUUUUCUUGAAACUACAUAAAAACCCUUGUCAGUACAACAAAAUUACCCCAAAUGUUGCCCCAACUAGUCAAACACAGUUGUCUGAACAAAGAAUUUCAUAUUGUUGAAAUGUUAAGGCUUUGUGAGUUCCCAGCAUGCAUUGCAGCAUGAAUAAAUUAUGCAGUUACUGUUAUAGGAUUAUUGUUUUGCUGUUUGCUGACUUCAUAAAAAAAUUUCUGUUGUUGUUUUAUCAUUAUUGUUAGUUAUUUAUUGUAUUGUGAUGUAAAGAGUUCAUCUUUUUAACAUUUGUUGGCUGUCACCAUUCUUAAGGUUAGUGUGUCUAGUUUUGAGGCCUAGAGUAUGCUCGCACAAUUUUACCCAUAAUGUGCAGGAGAUUGUCGCCGCCGCCGCCGCCUGUAAUACCAUGUUGUAGCUGGAGCAGAUCCAAUACGUAAUGGAUGUUUGACGAGCAUGCGCAGAUAUUGGAUGAUAGGGUUGUCAUUGAAGCUAGUAUUUAGUGUAAAUUAGACUGUAAUUUCGAGAUAUAGGUAUGUUUCAUAGAUUUACACAAAUUAUAUUAUACUGUGAUUUUAAACAAGUAGCGUAUUCAAACUUUAUUUAAGCGACGAUGGCUAGUUUUGAAUGAAAGGGUACGUAAGC